Molecule: ribosomal RNA, 781 nt
Filed under: uncultured bacterium
Lineage: Bacteria
Description: bacterial SSU rRNA
Rfam family: Bacterial small subunit ribosomal RNA
Source: RNAcentral
GGUGAACGCUGGCGGCGUGCCUAAUACAUGCAAGCCGACAAAUGGGGCGAACGGGUGAGUAACACGUGGGCAACCUGCCCGAAAGAGGGGGAUAACACUUGGAAACAGGUGCUAAUACCGCAUACUUUCGGAUGGGCCCGCGGCGCAUUAGCUAGUUGGUGGGGUAAAGGCUUACCAAGGCAAUGAUGCGUAGCCGAACUGAGAGGUUGAUCGGCCACAUUGGGACUGAGACACGGCCCAAACUCCUACGGGAGGCAGCAGUAGGGAAUCUUCCACAAUGGGCGAAAGCCUGAUGGAGCAACGCCGCGUGGGUGAAGAAGGUCUUCGGAUCGUAAAACCCUGUUGUCAGAGAAGCGGUAUCUGACCAGAAAGCCACGGCUAACUACGUGCCAGCAGCCGCGGUAAUACGUAGGUGGCAAGCGUUAUCCGGAUUUAUUGGGCGUAAAGGGAACGCAGGCGGUCUUUUAAGUCUGAUGUGAAAGCCUUCGGCCUAACCGGAGUAGGCAUUGGAAGCUGGGAGACUUGAGUGCAGAAGAGGAGAGUGGAACUCCAUGUGUAGCGGUGAAAUGCGUAGAUAUAUGGAAGAACACCAGUGGCGAAAGCGGCUCUCUGGUCUGUAACUGACGCUGAGGUUCGAAAGCGUGGGUAGCAAACAGGAUUAGAUACCUGGUAGUCCACGCCGUAAACGAUGAAUGCUAAGUUUGGACAGUGCUGCAGUUAACACAAUAAGCAUUCCGCCUGGGAGUACGACCGCAAGGUUGCAACUCAAUGAAUUGACGGA